Molecule: ribosomal RNA, 242 nt
Filed under: uncultured bacterium
Lineage: Bacteria
Description: partial 16S ribosomal RNA
Rfam family: Bacterial small subunit ribosomal RNA
Source: RNAcentral
GAGUAAUGUCUGGGAAACUGCCUGAUGGAGGGGGAUAACUACUGAACGGUAGCUAAUACCGCAUAACGUCGCAAGACCAAAGAGGGGGACCUUCGGGCCUCUUGCCAUCGGAUGUGCCCAGAUGGGAUUAGCUAGUAGGUGGGGUAACGGCUCACCUAGGCGACGAUCCCUAGCUGGUCUGAGAGGAUGACCAGCCACACUGGAACUGAGACACGGUCCAGACUCCUACGGGAGGCAGCAUG